RNAcentral lists this transfer RNA (67 nucleotides) under Telatrygon zugei (pale-edged stingray). Its description in RNAcentral is "tRNA-Cys". It matches the Rfam family "tRNA". From Rfam's summary of the family: Transfer RNA (tRNA) molecules are approximately 80 nucleotides in length. Their secondary structure includes four short double-helical elements and three loops (D, anti-codon, and T loops). The record is from RNAcentral. Lineage: Eukaryota; Metazoa; Chordata; Chondrichthyes; Myliobatiformes; Dasyatidae.
AGCUCUGUAGUAUAAAAUACAUGGGAUUGCAAAUCCUAAGAAGGAGAAUAAGAUUCUCCCGGAGCUU